UACGUAGGGGGCAAGCGUUAUCCGGAAUUACUGGGUGUAAAGGGAGCGUAGACGGUAAUGUAAGUCUGGAGUGAAAGGCGGGGGCCCAACCCCCGGACUGCUCUGGAAACUAUGUUACUAGAGUGCAGGAGGGGUAAGCGGAAUUCCUAGUGUAGCGGUGAAAUGCGUAGAUAUUAGGAGGAACACCAGUGGCGAAGGCGGCUUACUGGACUGUAACUGACGUUGAGGCUCGAAAGCGUGGGGAGCAAACAGG
Molecule: ribosomal RNA, 253 nt
Filed under: uncultured bacterium
Lineage: Bacteria
Description: partial 16S ribosomal RNA
Rfam family: Bacterial small subunit ribosomal RNA
Source: RNAcentral